CAGGCUCCGGCCGCCCGUCUUUGUAAGGAGACCACUGAGACGGGCGGGCGCGCGGAGCCGCCGCCGCAGCCUCUCUGCUGCCCUGACUUUUAAGAGCUCUCAAUGAACUGUCUGUGAGGAGCCACUGAUCCUGCCUGCAAGGGUUUGCAUUUUUGCACGGCAGAAGCAUCGAUCAGUGUUGAGUGAAGAUCCCAUUUUAUAUGCGAUCUUGACUUUUUUUGGGGUCUUACAUUAUAUUUUUUAUAGAUUUUUGUUAUCAACAUGGUGCUGGGGAAGGUGAAGAAUUUGACAAUAAGCUUCGACUGUCUGAAUGACAGCAAUGUCCCCGUGUAUUCCAGCGGGGAUACUGUCUCAGGAAGGGUGAAUUUAGAAGUUACUGGGGAAAUCAGAGUAAAAUCGCUUAAAAUUCAUGCAAGAGGACAUGCGAAAGUACGCUGGACGGAGUCUAGAAACGCCGGCUCCAAUACUGCCUACACGCAGAACUACACCGAAGAAGUAGAAUAUUUCAACCAUAAAGACAUCUUAAUUGGGCACGAAAGAGAUGAUGAUAAUUCGGAAGAAGGCUUCAACACUAUUCAUUCAGGAAGGCAUGAGUAUGCAUUCAGCUUCGAGCUUCCACAGACACCACUUGCUACCUCAUUCGAAGGCCGACAUGGCAGUGUGCGCUAUUGGGUGAAAGCCGAGUUGCACAGGCCUUGGCUUCUACCAGUAAAGUUAAAGAAGGAAUUUACAGUCUUUGAGCAUAUAGAUAUCAACACUCCUUCAUUACUGUCACCCCAAGCUGGCACAAAAGAAAAGACUCUCUGUUGCUGGUUCUGUACCUCAGGCCCAAUAUCCUUAAGUGCCAAAAUUGAAAGGAAGGGCUAUACCCCAGGUGAAUCAAUUCAGAUAUUUGCUGAGAUUGAGAACUGCUCUUCCCGAAUGGUGGUGCCAAAGGCAGCCAUUUACCAAACACAGGCCUUCUAUGCCAAAGGGAAAAUGAAGGAAGUAAAACAGCUUGUUGCCAACUUGCGUGGGGAAUCCUUAUCAUCUGGAAAGACAGAGACAUGGAAUGGCAAAUUGCUGAAAAUUCCACCAGUUUCUCCCUCUAUCCUAGAUUGUAGUAUAAUUCGUGUGGAAUAUUCUCUAAUGGUAUAUGUGGAUAUUCCUGGAGCUAUGGAUUUAUUUCUUAAUCUGCCACUUGUCAUCGGUACCAUUCCUCUACAUCCAUUUGGUAGCAGAACCUCAAGUGUAAGCAGUCAGUGUAGCAUGAAUAUGAACUGGCUCGGUUUAUCCCUUCCUGAAAGACCUGAAGAACGUGCUGUUCGAAUUGCGUGUAUCUUUUUCCUUCAGCACCACCCAGCUAUGCAGAAGUGGUGACAGAAGAACAAAGGCGAAACAAUCUUGCACCAGUGAAUGCUUGUGAUGACUUUGAGAGAGCACUUCAAGGACCACUGUUUGCAUAUAUACAGGAAUUUCGGUUCUUGCCUCCACCUCUUUAUUCAGAGAUUGAUCCAAAUCCUGAUCAGUCAGCAGACGAUAGGCCAUCCUGCCCCUCUCGUUGAAGGAACACUUGGCUGAAUCAAGUUGAUGUGGGUUCCGAACUCUAUGUCUCUUCCGGCUGAGGACAGAGAAGUAUCUUGGGAGACACGUUUUCAGUGGAAGUGGAAUUGCUUUUGCCCAGAAAAUGGCGAAUACAUGAAAUAAGCAGUGAUGAUGCUUUAGAAGCCUACACAGCAACAUUCUGGGACUGCUCCAACAUGCUUGAAGAUCUAAGCUUUUCUCCUUUAAAACUGGCACAUACUAAGAGCAGUCUUCUUAGCCUAUGGUCAUACGUGUCAAGACACCACGUUGUAAAGAGGGAUAAUUCCUUCUUUUGAUUUGAAAAUUUGCACAUGCUCAAUGCUUACAUUGUGCGGUUCGAUGUCACUACAGCUUUUUUUUUUUUUUUUCCAUUUCUGCCAGACUCUUGAUACUCUUUUAAAACUUGUUUGUGAUCAGCACAACAAGGAACAAAAGAAAGCUUUGAAAAAACUUUAACAUGAGAAAAACGCACUGACCUUUUUUUAUUUAAUAUAGCCUGGACUUGACCUGCGUAUGCACAUGCUCAGAAUCGUCCUCCUAGGCUGACCAUGUAUCACCUCCUCAGCUUGGAUCCUGUUGUGGAUUUAUUUACAAACAUCAAAUGCCUUCAAGCCAAUCCUUUUUGCUGUAUGUCUUGCAGCCUACUGUAGUAGAUACGCAACAGAUACGUGGGGGUAAAAGAUAAGAGGAGGAAGCUAAUAAGACUGUCAAGAUUGUAUACCUUCUUGGUUUCUUUUAAGAAUUUGUUGCCUUUCUACUAUUACAGCAAAGCAGCAUUUUGUUACUGACUGCCUAAAAUCACUUAAUCUCAGGUGAACGCAUCACUUGCCAAACUGUUGGAAUGCUAUUUGUGUUUUGUUGCACUGUUGAGUUUUUUGUUUGUUUGUUUGUUUGUUUAUUUGGUUGGCUCUUUGGAGAGGGAAAUUUGGAAACGGGACAUACACAAAAGUGAUAACCCACCCACAUCCCCUUUUUAUCAUUACAUAAAAGAAGAAACUAGCAGAGCUAAGAAUAGAGUACAGAAAGGCAGUAUGGCAAGCACCAGCAAAGAGUUAAGGGCUGUUGCUCUUGAAAAUUAUUUUUUUUAUUAUUAUUUUAAAAGUAUGGAAAUUUACCAGUCACUGGGGAAAGGAGGGGAAAGUGCAUUUAUUUUUCUAUAGAGUUACUUAAUUACCUCCGAAACACAUAUGUUGGAAAUCAUUUUUGCUGAGGCAAGCAUUUUAAUGAGCAGGAAUAUGUUGAAUAUGUUGAAGUUACAUUAGAGAGCUCAAGUUACACAUUUGCCAUCCUGCUCUAUCUUGGUGGAGUGUGAAAACCCAAGUUUAUUCCAGAAGUGUGUAAUUUCAUAAUUACAAAUACUAGGAUGCUUGUUGGGAUAACAGUUGAAUUUUUAUGUAUGUGUCUUUGUGUGUGUGUGUGUGUGUGUGUGUGUGGUUUUUUAAAUUUAAAUGCUUUUUUUCCAUUACCUACAGAAAGAACAGUUUGUUAAACAUGAGAAAUCACUCACUUUGAGUUAUAUAGAGAAGAUAGGAAAAGUAAUCAUUUAAAGAUAAUUUACGGUUGGCUCAUAAUAAAUAUACCAGCAUUCAUAACAACAUUUAAAACUACAUGUUCCAAGAUACCAAGUGUACUGAUUUUUUUUUUUUUUUAAGAAGGAACUGUUUCUAAUAAAAGUCAGCAUCUCUGAUGUUGCAACAUAUGUGUGAAAUGGGUAGUACAUCUAUCCUACCAUUUAACCCCACAGUUAAUAAAGUGGCUGAAAAUAAUAGUAACUCUGGCUUGGUGCUUGACCUGGUUAAAUACUGUCUUAAAGCUUCAUACAAAACAAAUAGGCUUUUCCAUAAGUGGCCUUUAAGAAAACAUGGAAGACAAUUCAUGUUUGAAAAAUGCUGACAGGGUGAAGAAAGCCCAGUGUAAAAUGAAUCGCGUUUUAAGUGAUUCGGUUAAAGGGUUUGGGCUCCCGUAGCAAACUAAUACUAGAUAAUAAGGAAAUGGGGGUGAAAUAUUUUUUUAUUGUUGUUAAAUCAUUUUGUGAAUGUCCCCCUCAAAAGAAGCUAAUGGAAUAUUUGGCAUUAAGGGCAUUUGGUGGUUUUAUUUUUGUUUGGGGGGAUUGUCAGAAAAUCCCUUUUCUUUUUUUCUUAUGUCUAACAGACUAGGGAACAAUUGUUGAUAUGCAUAGCAUUGGAAUACUGAUCAUCAUAUACUCUUAAAGUAACACAUGAAGCAAGAAUGACCAAUAUUCUGAUCAUUGGCACUGGAUCACAAAUGUGAUAACAUUUUAAAUUUAUAAAACUUUAUUAAAUAAAGUUUUAUUUUCUCCACUAAAGUAUUUCCUUACUCUUAUUUAGAGGCAUUACUUUCUCCUAAAUAUUGGUCAAUUCCUGACAUACGAUGUGAGGUUCACAGUUGUAUUCCAGUAUUCAUGAUAGAUUCCUGAUUUUUCAAUUAGGAAAAGUAAAAUCCAAAAUGUUAGCAAAACAAAGUGCAAUAUUAAAUGUUUGCUUUAUAGAUUAUAUUCUAUGGCUGUUUGUAAUUUUUCUCUAUUUUUUUCUUUUUUUAUUUGGUGCUGAAUAUGUCCUUGUAGGCUCUGUUUUAAGAAAACAAUAUGUGGGAAAUGAUUUAAUUUUUCCUAUUGCUCUUCCUUGUGGAAAAUAAAGUGUUUUGUUUGUUUUGUUUUUCUUUUUUGUAUAA
This is an RNA transcript of Oryctolagus cuniculus (rabbit), 4254 nucleotides long. It is a transcript of the gene named arrestin domain containing 3, with no coding region annotated. NCBI's taxonomy places the organism in Eukaryota, Metazoa, Chordata, Mammalia, Lagomorpha, Leporidae. The record is from RefSeq and is a predicted model, not a curated record.